GUCGAUGAAUUGGUCGUAGUGAGGACACACGCUACUGAUGGCGACGGGUGCCUGCAACAUGCCCAUCCUCACUUCAAUCUGGACACGACUGCCAGUGUGGUCAAAGAAAGUCAAGUGCCUUGUGAGAUGCAGGACACCACUGCCAGUGAGUUCAAAGAAG
Ornithodoros turicata is the source of this 160-nucleotide long non-coding RNA. RefSeq lists it as uncharacterized. The record is from RefSeq and is a predicted model, not a curated record. The transcript is spliced from 4 exons. NCBI's taxonomy places the organism in Eukaryota, Metazoa, Arthropoda, Arachnida, Ixodida, Argasidae.